GCAAGCGUUAAUCGGAAUUACUGGGCGUAAAGCGCACGUAGGUGGUUUGUUAAGUCAGAUGUGAAAUCCCCGAGCUCAACUUGGGAACUGCAUUCAAAACUGGCAAGCUAGAGUAUGGUAGAGGGGGGUAGAAUUUCAGGUGUAGCGGUGAAAUGCGUAGAGAUAUGAAGGAACACCAGUGGCGAAGGCGGCCCCCUGGACAAAGACUGACGCUCAGGUGCGAAAGCGUGGGGAGCAA
RNAcentral lists this ribosomal RNA (238 nucleotides) under Enterobacteriaceae bacterium. Its description in RNAcentral is "partial 16S ribosomal RNA". It matches the Rfam family "Bacterial small subunit ribosomal RNA", at positions 534 to 771 of the family's 1533-position model. The record is from RNAcentral. Lineage: Bacteria; Pseudomonadati; Pseudomonadota; Gammaproteobacteria; Enterobacterales; Enterobacteriaceae.